AUUGAAAUCGGCUAUGAUAGCU
RNAcentral lists this microRNA (22 nucleotides) under Anopheles gambiae (African malaria mosquito). RNAcentral's name for it is "aga-miR-10366b-5p". Lineage: Eukaryota; Metazoa; Arthropoda; Insecta; Diptera; Culicidae. The record is from miRBase by way of RNAcentral.